RNAcentral lists this ribosomal RNA (301 nucleotides) under uncultured bacterium. RNAcentral's name for it is "partial 16S ribosomal RNA". It matches the Rfam family "Bacterial small subunit ribosomal RNA", at positions 509 to 807 of the family's 1533-position model. The record is from RNAcentral.
CAGCCGCCGCGGGAAUACAGAGGGUGCGAGCGUUAAUCGGAUUUACUGGGCGUAAAGCGUGCGUAGGCGGCUUCUUAAGUCGGAUGUGAAAUCCCUGAGCUUAACUUAGGAAUUGCAUUCGAUACUGGGAAGCUAGAGUAUGGGAGAGGAUGGUAGAAUUCCAGGUGUAGCGGUGAAAUGCGUAGAGAUCUGGAGGAAUAUUGAUGGCGAAGGCAGCCAUCUGGCCUAAUACUGACGCUGAGGUACGAAAGCAUGGGGAGCAAACAGGAUUAGAGACCCCCGUAGUCCCUGUCUCUUAUAC